RNAcentral lists this ribosomal RNA (943 nucleotides) under uncultured archaeon. RNAcentral's name for it is "bacterial SSU rRNA". It matches the Rfam family "Archaeal small subunit ribosomal RNA", at positions 1 to 922 of the family's 1478-position model. The record is from RNAcentral.
UCCGGUUGAUCCUGCCGGACCCGACUGCUAUCGGAUAGAGAUUAAGCCAUGCGAGUCGAACAUUUCUUAACUAUGUAAGAAGUGUGGCAUACGGCUCAGUAACACGUGGUCAACCUACCCUAAAGACAUGAAUAACCCCGGGAAACUGGGAUUAAUAUAUGAUAGGUCAUUUUUCCUGGAAUCGGUUUAUGACUUAAAAGAUUAUUGAGCAUGUUUGAUUAAUUGCUUUAGGAUGGGACUGCGACCGAUCAGGUUGUUGGUGGGGUAAUGGCCUACCAAGCCGAUUACCGGUGCGGGCUUUGAGAGAAGGAGCCCGGAGAUGGACACUGAGAAAAGGGUCCAGGCCCUACGGGGCGCAGCAGGCGCGAAAACUUUGCAAUGUGCGAAAGCACGACAAGGUUAAUCCGAGUGCAAUAUGCUGAAUAUAGCUUUUGGUAAAUGUAAAUAGUUUAUUGAAUAAGGGGAGGGAAAGUCUGGUGUCAGCCGCCGCGGUAAUACCAGCUCCCCGAGUGGUCGGGACGAUUAUUGGGCCUAAAGCAUCCGUAGCCGGUUCUGUAGGUCUUAUGUUAAAAUCAAUUGCUUAACAAUUGAACUGCAUGAGAUACCACAAAACUAGGAGGCGGGAGAGGUGGACGGUAUUCCACGGGUAGGGGUAAAAUCCUCUGAACCGUGGAGGACCACCAGUGGCGAAGGCGGUCCACCAGAACGCGCUCGACGGUGAGGGAUGAAAGCUGGGGUAGCGAACCGGAUUAGAUACCCGGGUAGUCCCAGCUGUAAACGAUGCAAGCUAGGUGAUGCAUUAGCCACGUGUUAAUGCAGUGCCGCAGGGAAGCCGUUAAGCUUGCCGCCUGGGGAGUACGGUCGCAAGGCUGAAACUUAAAGGAAUUGGCGGGGGAGCACCACAAGGGGUGAAGCCUGCGGUUCAAUUGGAUUCAACGCCGGG